This 99-nucleotide ribosomal RNA is filed under the name Triticum aestivum (bread wheat). RNAcentral's name for it is "partial small subunit ribosomal RNA". The record is from RNAcentral. Lineage: Eukaryota; Viridiplantae; Streptophyta; Magnoliopsida; Poales; Poaceae.
AUGUUACUUGCCCGAGAUUCGAUCGUCGGUAUCUUCAUACCUAGUUCAAUCUCGUUACCGGCAAGUCUGUUACUCGUUCCGUUAUACAUCAUCCUGUAA